UCUGUUCCUGUCAAUCGAAAGGAGCAUAGUGCACGGUGUGUUUAACACCGUCUCUGGUGCCUGCGGAACAGAAAUCACCAUUAACACAACCACGUUAACCUUCACUUAAGUGGUGAAAUACAACUGAAGCCUUAUUUUGGAUCCAGCUUUAAAUUUAAACCGCAACCUACAGGACUUAAGGAGCCAGAGUUGGAACAUCUGAAAACAUCAUAAUGUCUUAUGACCGUAUUCUGUCCAUUGAAAAUUUGAGUGAUGUUCCAAAUCCAUGGAAAGGAUUCACUAUGAACCGCUGCUUAGUGCUGGCACUGGUUGUACUGCUUGUGAGCUCAGCGGUCAGUGAACUGCACGAUGCAAUGGAUUCCUUUGUUGAGGAGACAGGUAUAAGGUCUUUCUUAAGAAGUCUACAGGAUGGUUCAAUACUACAGAUUUCCAUAUGGGACAAUUUCAUGGGGUGGUGGGAAUCCGAAGAACUUGGAGCGAUGAGAAGAAGGAAAAAGCCGAUUGGCAACAAAGCCAUCCUAAAACCCAAACCUAAAGUAUGAUUUGUAUACAAAACAUAGAUGUUAUCAAUUGUCAUAACAAACGUUUUUUCUGAAUAAAGUUUGUAUUAUAGAGAACGCCAUUUCAUUUGUUGGGCAGGACAUGAUUUAUUCAGAAAUGUUUAUGACAUUUAAUACAUAUUUUAAAUCAAAAUCUAUCAUUAUCACUAAUAUAGAAAUGUCACUUACUACCACAUUGUAACAUAAUCUUAUAUUGUCAUCAGCAGUCAUCAAGUUAUUAACAAUUUGGUAGUUUUAGAACAAUAUAUUCUUUUUUUAUUGGUGCAUAAAACAUUACAUGAAGCCAUAGGACAUUUGGACAGUUUUAAAACAUACAGACAUUAAGACAAGUACUGAACAAUGAUUUAUAUUGAUCUGGGAGGUUGAGUUGGCUAGUGGUGUGACAUGACAAUGCUUUCUAUGAUAACUGAAAUCUUAAUUAAAGCACAAAAAAGUGGUCUUCUGGAUGAUAAGAGGUUUGCCCUGAAUAAACAAUGGCUUUUUAUUCAAAUUACUUCUUAGAUAAUAAAAAUUAAAUAUUUACAGAGGGAGAUGAUAAUACUCAUAUUUAACUUCUUUUGGUUUGAAUAAAAAUUAUUAGUUCUAAGUGUGAGAAUAAUGCAAAUAAGACAUUGUCUAUAUAUGUGAAAGUAUAGCUUAAAGAGAUGUCUGAAUUAACAUGUGCAUUUACUACCAGUGUAUUGAUACUGUGUGAUUGAAUAAAUGACAAUUAAGUAACAAUUAAAGGCAAACUGUUGAUUUUCAA
This is a long non-coding RNA of Perca flavescens (yellow perch), 1305 nucleotides long. RefSeq lists it as uncharacterized. Lineage: Eukaryota; Metazoa; Chordata; Actinopteri; Perciformes; Percidae. The record is from RefSeq and is a predicted model, not a curated record. The transcript is spliced from 5 exons.